ACCACAACGAGGUGGAGCCGUGUACGGUUUAUACGGUACUCAACGCCGGGAAACUCACCAGAUAAGACAGCUGAAUGAUAGUCGGGCUGAAGACUCUACUUGACUAGCUGAGAGGAGGUGCAUGGCCGUCGUCAGUUCGUACUGUGAAGCAUCCUGUUAAGUCAGGCAACGAGCGAGACCCACGCCAACAGUUGCCAGCUCGUCCUCCGGGAUGGUGGGGACACUGUUGGGACCGCCUCUGCUAAAGAGGAGGAAGGAAUGGGCAACGGUAGGUCAGCAUGCCCCGAAUUAUCUGGGCUACACGCGGGCUACAAUGGGUGGGACAAUGGGUAUCGACACCGAAAGGUGAAGGCAAUCUCCUAAACCCAUCCGUAGUUCGGAUUGUGGGCUGCAACUCGCCCACAUGAAGCUGGAAUCUGUAGUAAUCGUGUCUCAAAAUGGCACGGUGAAUAUGUCCCUGCCCCUU
Molecule: ribosomal RNA, 466 nt
Filed under: uncultured Methanomicrobiales archaeon
Lineage: Archaea; Methanobacteriati; Methanobacteriota; Methanomicrobia; Methanomicrobiales
Description: bacterial SSU rRNA
Rfam family: Archaeal small subunit ribosomal RNA
Source: RNAcentral